UGGUAGUGAAAUCGUGCGAGUGGACAGAGAAAACUCAGAUUCUUUGAGUGGAGAGAGAAAACUGUGUUCGUGAAUUGGGAGAUAUUUGUGAAUUGUGUGUGUGUUUUUAGGUGUGAAUUAUGAGUGGACAUUUUUUUAAUUUUUAAUGUGAAGGGCAUUUUGGUAAUAGUGGACAUUUUUUAAGUUUUUUAUUUUAGUGGACAUUUUUUAUUUUUACAAUAUGAAAGUGGCCAUUUUAAAAAUCUACUCUAAAUAUAAAGUUUUAGUAUAUCAUGAAUAUGCAAAGCACAUAGUAAACUUUAAAUCACUAAAGCAAUACGAAUAAGUCAAAUCACAUUCACACAUUGCACAUAUUCACCUUAGCAAACUAAGCCAUACUUGAAAAACUUUAUAUAAGCAAUAGCACACAUG
RNAcentral lists this long non-coding RNA (411 nucleotides) under Salvia miltiorrhiza (redroot sage). RNAcentral's name for it is "long non-coding RNA (SMIL_LNC008961)". The record is from RNAcentral. Lineage: Eukaryota; Viridiplantae; Streptophyta; Magnoliopsida; Lamiales; Lamiaceae.